Molecule: non-coding RNA, 83 nt
Organism: Termitomyces sp. Mi166#008
Lineage: Eukaryota; Fungi; Basidiomycota; Agaricomycetes; Agaricales; Lyophyllaceae
Source: the annotation of a GenBank genome assembly
GGGCACAUGGUGUAGUUGGUUAUCACGCCCGCUUAGCAUUUAGCGGUUGCGGGCGGUGUCUGGUUCAAUUCCGGGUGUGUCCA